Molecule: ribosomal RNA, 460 nt
Filed under: uncultured bacterium
Lineage: Bacteria
Description: partial 16S ribosomal RNA
Rfam family: Bacterial small subunit ribosomal RNA
Source: RNAcentral
CCUACGGGAGUCAGCAGUGAGGAAUAUUGGUCAAUGGGCGCGAGCCUGAACCAGCCAAGUCGCGUGAGGGAGGACGGCCCUACGGGUUGUAAACCUCUUUUGCCGGGGAGCAACGGGCGUCACGUGUGGCGCCACUGAGAGUACCCGGAGAAAAAGCAUCGGCAAACUCUGUGCCAGCAGCCGCGGUAAUACGGGGGAUGCGAGUGUUAUCCGAUUUUAUUGGGUUAAAGGGGUGCGUAGGCGGAUUGUAAAGUCAGUGGUAAAAUUGAGGGGCUAAACCCCUUCCCGCCAUUGAAACUGGCGCUCUUGAGUGGAAGAGAGGUAUGCGGAAUGCGUGGUGUAGCGGUGAAAUGCAUAGAUAUCACGCAGAACCCCGAUUGCGAAGGCAGCAUGCCGGCUUCCGACUGACGCUGAAGCACGAAAGCGUGGGGAUCGAACAGGAUUAGAUACCCGGGUAGUC